GCCGACGUAGCUCAGGGGUAGAGCAGCUGAUUCGUAAUCAGCAGGUCGUGAGUUCAAUUCUCACCGUCGGCUCCA
Molecule: transfer RNA, 75 nt
Filed under: Deltaproteobacteria bacterium GWC2_42_11
Lineage: Bacteria; Deltaproteobacteria
Description: tRNA-Thr
Rfam family: tRNA
About the family: Transfer RNA (tRNA) molecules are approximately 80 nucleotides in length. Their secondary structure includes four short double-helical elements and three loops (D, anti-codon, and T loops).
Source: RNAcentral